RNAcentral lists this transfer RNA (75 nucleotides) under Nanobdellota archaeon. RNAcentral's name for it is "tRNA-Ile". It matches the Rfam family "tRNA". From Rfam's summary of the family: Transfer RNA (tRNA) molecules are approximately 80 nucleotides in length. The record is from RNAcentral. Lineage: Archaea; Nanobdellati; Nanobdellota. RNAcentral also lists the same sequence under 1 other name.
GGGGCUGUAGCUUAGCCUGGCUGGAGCACUCGACUGAUAAUCGAGAGGUCGGAAGUUCAAAUCUUCCCAGCCCCA